CUACGGGGGGCAGCAGUGAGGAAUAUUGCGCAAUGGGGGAAACCCUGACGCAGCGACGCCGCGUGGAUGAUGAAGGCCUUAGGGUCGUAAAAUCCUGUCAGGUGGGAAGAAGUGGAUAUAGAUUAAUACUCUAUUUCUUUGACGGUACCACCAAAGGAAGCACCGGCUAACUCCGUGCCAGCAGCCGCGGUAAUACGGAGGGUGCAAACGUUGUUCGGAAUGUACUGGGCGUAAAGCGCGCGUAGGCGGUUUGUUAAGUCAGAUGUGAAAGUCCAUGGCUCAACUAGGGAAGUGCAUUUGAAACUGGCAGACUUGAGUACUGGAGGGGGUGAUGGAAUUCCCGGUGUAGAGGUGAAAUUCGUAGAUAUCGGGAGGAAUACCGGUGGCGAAGGCGAUCACCUGGCCAGAUACUGACGCUGAGGUGCGAAAGCGUGGGGAGCAAACAGGAUUAGAUACCCUCGUAGUC
RNAcentral lists this ribosomal RNA (466 nucleotides) under uncultured bacterium. RNAcentral's name for it is "partial 16S ribosomal RNA". It matches the Rfam family "Bacterial small subunit ribosomal RNA", at positions 339 to 795 of the family's 1533-position model. The record is from RNAcentral.